GAUGAACGCUGGCGGCGUGCCUAAUACAUGCAAGUCGAGCGAACGGACGAGAAGCUUGCUUUUCUGAUGUUAGCGGCGGACGGGUGAGUAACACGUGGAUAACCUACCUAUAAGACUGGGAUAACUUCGGGAAACCGGAGCUAAUACCGGAUAAUCUUUUGAACCGCAUGGUUCAAAAGUGAAAGACGGUCUUGCUGUCACUUAUCGAUGGAUCCGCGCUGCAUUAGCUAGUUGGUAAGGUAACGGCUUACCAAGGCAACGAUGCAUAGCCGACCUGAGAGGGUGAUCGGCCACACGGGAACUGAGACACGGUCCAGACUCCUACGGGAGGCAGCAGUAGGGAAUCUUCCGCAAUGGGCGAAAGCCUGACGGAGCAACGCCGCGUGAGUGAUGAAGGUCUUCGGAUCGUAAAACUCUGUUAUUAGGGAAGAACAUAUGUGUAAGUAACUGUGCACAUCUUGACGGUACCUAAUCAGAAAGCCACGGCUAACUACGUG
RNAcentral lists this ribosomal RNA (497 nucleotides) under uncultured bacterium. RNAcentral describes it as "partial 16S ribosomal RNA". It matches the Rfam family "Bacterial small subunit ribosomal RNA", at positions 28 to 507 of the family's 1533-position model. The record is from RNAcentral.